AAAAUAGAAAUAAAAAAUACUAGAUAAAAGAGAUAGACACAAUUAAAUUCAAACAACUAAGAGAUGUAAUGGUGAAACUAACCAAAAACACCACUUAAUUGGGAAAUAAAAGCACCUAAUCUAUUAGAAUCCUCAAGAAAGUAAUAAUCUUACUUGCAAAUUCUAGGACAAAAUGUUGAAGUUCAACAAAGGGCUUCCAACUCUCACAAGAGGCAUAACAUGUCCAAAACUCCUUAUG
This 238-nucleotide long non-coding RNA is filed under the name Solanum tuberosum (potato). Its description in RNAcentral is "long non-coding RNA (STUB_LNC009008)". The record is from RNAcentral. Lineage: Eukaryota; Viridiplantae; Streptophyta; Magnoliopsida; Solanales; Solanaceae.